This 383-nucleotide unclassified non-coding RNA is filed under the name Hevea brasiliensis (rubber tree). Lineage: Eukaryota; Viridiplantae; Streptophyta; Magnoliopsida; Malpighiales; Euphorbiaceae. The record is from RNAcentral.
UGACUGUUUAGCAAUGUCUCAAACCAUCCACUACCAGAUCUCUGUGUCGACAAUAUUGCAAAAUUCCUUACAGGAUUGCAAGCACAUUCCGCCCGGCUAAAAGUCUUUGGUUUGGGGAAGUGCACAUAAGGUUUUUCUGAAGGUUCAAUAUCAGUUGCCUCACACGGCUUUUCAACCACAUGAACACUUACUAUCCGUCCAGUGGUAUGCACACCAAUUUGUUUCAAGCCAAUUGAACAUAUAUAAACUCCACAUACCAUUGCAAAGAUUAAGACCACCAUCCUCAGCAUCAUUGGAGAAGCCUUUGGUGGCUUAAUGAUGGACUCCUUGCUGAAAAAACAAAAAUCGUCAGCCAUUUUUGUGCUUAAAAAAAGGGAUUAAGA